Long non-coding RNA from Gymnodraco acuticeps, 1827 nucleotides. RefSeq lists it as uncharacterized. The transcript is spliced from 4 exons. NCBI's taxonomy places the organism in Eukaryota, Metazoa, Chordata, Actinopteri, Perciformes, Bathydraconidae. The record is from RefSeq and is a predicted model, not a curated record.
UGUCACGUGAUUUGAAGCAAGCUUCGAAUCACUGCUUCUAUGGAAUAGGAAGUCCAGGGUUGAAGCUCCGUUCGAAGCUUCAGUGUCAAACUGCCAUCACUAGUAGUUGCCAACUCGCCCGUUGCCCCAAACAGUUUAAAAAUGGAUCGACUUGUAAGAUAUAAACGAUACCUCGUCGACGACGAAGCGGCCAUUCCACGCACAACGAGGAAAAGAUGGAAAAAAACAGCAUUUCACUGAAGAUGUGGGCAAUGGCGAAGCUGAGGCCUCUACUGCUUCUACAGCACAGCAUUUGACCACAGGUGUGGGCGACAGAGAUGCUGAGGCCGCCGCCUAUACUGCUUCGAACGAUCAAGAUGCUGAGGCCUGUACUGCUUCGAAUGACAGAAUGAACCAACCACCUGUCCCAAGCUCUCCACCUGAGGAGCCAGUAGAGGGACGGCUACAGGACAGUCCGACAUCAGACCAGAUCCCAUCAAAGGAGCAAGUCGAAUUACUGCUUCUGGCAUUCAAACUCAAACAUGGAAUAACACACAGAGCUUUAGAGGACGUUAUGAAACUUAUUAACUUUAGUGGUGGUCCUUCAGUUAGUGGGUCCAAGUACAUGUUCUACAAGUCCUUUGAUACAGUUAAAGACGUAUUGGAAGUACACUAUGUGUGCAAAAUCUGCAACCUGAGCAUGGAGGAAUCUCCUGACACCGUCAAGUGCCCAGUCUGUGACCAGGUCAUCUCAAAAGUAGAUGCACAAAAAGAUCAAUGCUUUUUAUACCUGCCUCAAAAAGUCAAAUACAAAAACUGCUACAGGACCAUCACUUAGGGAAACAUUUAGCACACCGGUUUGAGGAGAAGGACCUCUCCAUCAUCAAAGAUGUGUACGAUGGACAAAUGUAUAAAAAACUAUCACCGCUUGCUUCACCAGACAACAUAUCGCUGGCUUUCAGCUGUGAUGGCGUGCCGGUGCACAAAUCAACUAAAAGCAGCUUGUGGACAAUUCUUUGUACUAUAAAUGAACUGCCAAUACAUCUUCGUGGAAAACAUGUGAUGGUCUGUGGGCUGUGGUUUGGUCCAAACAAACCCAAUAUGAAUAUUUACAUGAAACCAUUUGUUGAUGAAUGCAUUGAUUUAUAUGAAAAUGGUCUUGCAUGGAAAAGUGAUAGUGGGAAAGUGGUCUCAAGUAAAGUACUUGCUAUUUUCUUGGUGGCAGAUUCAGUUGCUCGACCACUUGUUCAGAAUUUUAAGCAAUUUCAUGGAGAGUUUGGAUGCUCUUUUUGCAUGCAGAAAGGGACUACUGUGUUGAAACGCAGGGGGCGUGUAAGGGCAUAUCCCCAUGAAGUUGCAGAGUUGAGGAACCCCUCUCAAACCGAGGAUUUGGUAGAACAGGCUCUCUUGGGAAAGCCCACAAAUGGAGUGAAAGGGCCUAGUAUUUUAUCUUGUCUCCUCUAUUUUGACAUCAUUGAUGGCUGUGUUCCAGAUUAUAUGCACAGUGUGCUUCUAGGUGUAACUAGAAGCCUAACCACACUGUAGUUUAAUUCGGAAAACUUUCAAUCUCCUUGGUACCUCGGACGCUCAAUAGGACAGGUAGAUGAGAUGUUAACUUCAAUUAAACCCCCCUGUAAUGUUUCCCGUGUUCCCCGCUCACUUACAGAGAGAACAUUCUGGAAAGCACAUGAGUGGUCCAUGUGGUUGUUUUAUUACAGUGUACCAACAUUGAAGGGAGUCUUACCUGAGAAAUACCUUAAGCACUGGUUCAACUUGGUUAAGGGGGUCUCUCUUCUGCUUAGUGAGGAUAUAAUAGCACUGCAUUUAUCUGAAUCUGAGAAGUUGCUA